Molecule: long non-coding RNA, 1048 nt
Organism: Chiroxiphia lanceolata (lance-tailed manakin)
Lineage: Eukaryota; Metazoa; Chordata; Aves; Passeriformes; Pipridae
Exons: 2
Source: RefSeq, a predicted model, not a curated record
GAACAUGUCCCCUUUCAAAAGAGCUUCUUCCCGGUUUCCAACCGCCCCACCGAACCGGGAUCUACCCCAGCCUCACCCGGAGCUCCCUCUGCCCCCGCCGCCCAGCCCGGCUCCCUUCCGCGGCCCCUUACCCCAGCUCGGAGCCUGAGAUUGUCCCAGCAUGAGUGACAUUGGCUUUCCUAAUGUAAUGACUUAUGAAAGAUAUAAUCAUGUGUUAAAUUGAAUCCUCCGCUUAACUGUUAAUGGUGUGCUCUGGGCACAUUUACGUAUUAGAUGCUAUGGUAACUAAUUACCACUAGAAGAAGGGAUAAUACACUUUCCAGACUUUGACAAAUAAUUAUGAGUGUUCACAUCCCUGCUAGCAGCAGUUGCAGCGGAUCUGCUGGAAUGAGUAAGUGAAUAAAUGAAUGGGCCGGGAGGGAUCCUGAGGCUGUAAGCAAACGGCGAAACAGGUCCUUACCGGAGCGGGACAAAACUUUGGGGAAGUCGCUCUGGGCUGCGCGCCUGCCCCGGCCCCCGCCGCCCUCCCGCUCCGCGGGGUCGCUGCUGCCCGUCGGGGCUCGUCCGGUAUCUGGGAAGGUUCCGGCACUAAAGGAGCCUAUCAGAGGCGUCACUGAGGUUCUCUGUGGAGUAUUGCUCUUGGCUGAGGCAGGCGCCGCAGGGGUUAAGCCGCUUGUGCCCGCCGCUCCGGGGCCAUCCUGUCGGGGCAGGGGCUAAGGUGGAACCCGCUACCGGGAGCGGGAGACGGCGUGGCUGCCCCGGCCCCCCGGCCCGACUCUGGAGCUCCUACCAGCCAAAUACGUCGCAGAAGGGACAUCUGCUAAAUGAGCAAAGAGUUGAAGCCAGCCCCAUUUCCCCGGGGUCACCCAUCAGCUCGGUGUCACCCAGCCCGCCCCCCGCAUAUCCCCGAAGCGCUCCGGAGGGGAAUCUGCUCUGGUUCGGUUGGUUCUCCAGCCUCAGGAAGGGUUAAAUCUUUCCCCAAGCCCCUAGUUGCCCUUGUCCUCUCAACCUGAUUCAGAGACGUGUAAUAAAAUAGGAAGCAAAUUUA